Jaculus jaculus (lesser Egyptian jerboa) is the source of this 107-nucleotide small nuclear RNA. Lineage: Eukaryota; Metazoa; Chordata; Mammalia; Rodentia; Dipodidae. The record is from Ensembl.
GUGCUCGCUUCGGCAGCACAUACACUACCAUUGGAAUGAUACAGAGAAGGUUGGCAUGGCCCCUGUGCAAGGGCGACACGCAAGUUCAUGAAGGGUUCCUUAUUAAA